This 72-nucleotide transfer RNA is filed under the name Deinococcus roseus. RNAcentral describes it as "tRNA-Cys". It matches the Rfam family "tRNA". Rfam says of the family: Transfer RNA (tRNA) molecules are approximately 80 nucleotides in length. Their secondary structure includes four short double-helical elements and three loops (D, anti-codon, and T loops). Lineage: Bacteria; Thermotogati; Deinococcota; Deinococci; Deinococcales; Deinococcaceae. The record is from RNAcentral.
GGCAGUCUGGUGUAAAGAAGCAUGGUGCCCUGCACAGGCACACGGUGCAGGUUCAAGUCCUGCUGCUGCCCC